CGGUAACGCCAUGUCGUGCGCUCUAGUCCCCUUCGGCUCCUUCCAGGACUUAGAGGCGGCUCGCGCCUUCCUGUGCCCGCACCGCCGUCAGGGCAGCUCCGCAGCCGGCAAGGAGAGCGGUGAGCAAAUCAACAGGCUGGGAAGAUGGUGGCUGGGGAGCCUGGGAUGAAGCAGAAUUACAAGAACCUGAAGAAGAGGAAUCUACUUCCAAGAACCAGAGAAAUUACUGGCUUCAGGACUGUGUGUUGUCCUUGUCACCAACAAACGACCUGAUGGUAAUAGCUAAUGAACAGAAAGCAGUAUUUUUAGUGUCUAAAUGGAAGCACAGUGACAAGGGAAAAGAAGAAAUGCAAUAUGCUGUUGGCUGGAGUGGCUCUCUGAAUGUUGAAGAAGG
Long non-coding RNA from Mesitornis unicolor (brown roatelo), 394 nucleotides. RefSeq lists it as uncharacterized. The transcript is spliced from 4 exons. The record is from RefSeq and is a predicted model, not a curated record. NCBI's taxonomy places the organism in Eukaryota, Metazoa, Chordata, Aves, Mesitornithiformes, Mesitornithidae.